GGGUUGUGAGGUUAAGCGACUAAGCGUACACGGUGGAUGCCCUGGCAGUCAGAGGCGAUGAAGGACGUGCUAAUCUGCGAAAAGCGCCGGCGAGGUGAUAUGAACCUUUGACCCGGCGAUGUCCGAAUGGGGAAACCCAGUGCAAUCCGUUGCACUAUCGUUAACUGAAUACAUAGGUUAACGAGGCGAACCGGGGGAACUGAAACAUCUAAGUACCCCGAGGAAAAGAAAUCAACCGAGAUUCCCCCAGUAGCGGCGAGCGAACGGGGAGCAGCCCGGAGUCUGAAUCAGCUUGUGUGUUAGUGGAACGGUCUGGAAAGUCCGACGGUACAGGGUGAUAGUCCCGUACACGAAAGCACACAUGCUGUGAACUCGAAGAGUAGGGCGGGACACGUGGUAUCCUGUCUGAAUAUGGGGGGACCAUCCUCCAAGGCUAAAUACUCCUGACUGACCGAUAGUGAACCAGUACCGUGAGGGAAAGGCGAAAAGAACCCCGGCGAGGGGAGUGAAAAAGAACCUGAAACCGUGUACGUACAAGCAGUGGGAGCCUCUUUAUGGGGUGACUGCGUACCUUUUGUAUAAUGGGUCAGCGACUUAUAUUCUGUAGCAAGGUUAACCGUAUAGGGGAGCCGAAGGGAAACCGAGUCUUAACUGGGCGUUAAGUUGCAGGGUAUAGACCCGAAACCCGGUGAUCUAGCCAUGGGCAGGUUGAAGGUUGGGUAACACUAACUGGAGGACCGAACCGACUAAUGUUGAAAAAUUAGCGGAUGACCUGUGGCUGGGGGUGAAAGGCCAAUCAAACCGGGAGAUAGCUGGUUCUCCCCGAAAGCUAUUUAGGUAGCGCCUCGUGAAUUCAUCUUCGGGGGUAGAGCACUGUUUCGGCUAGGGGGCCAUCCCGGCUUACCAACCCGAUGCAAACUACGAAUACCGAAGAAUGUUAUCACGGGAGACACACGGCGGGUGCUAACGUCCGUCGUGAAGAGGGAAACAACCCAGACCGCCAGCUAAGGUCCCAAAGUCAUGGUUAAGUGGGAAACGAUGUGGGAAGGCACAGACAGCCAGGAUGUUGGCUUAGAAGCAGCCAUCAUUUAAAGAAAGCGUAAUAGCUCACUGGUCGAGUCGGCCUGCGCGGAAGAUGUAACGGGGCUAAACCAUGCACCGAAGCUGCGGCAGCGACACUAUGUGUUGUUGGGUAGGGGAGCGUUCUGUAAGCCGUUGAAGGUGUGCUGUGAGGCAUGCUGGAGGUAUCAGAAGUGCGAAUGCUGACAUAAGUAACGAUAAAGCGGGUGAAAAGCCCGCUCGCCGGAAGACCAAGGGUUCCUGUCCAACGUUAAUCGGGGCAGGGUGAGUCGACCCCUAAGGCGAGGCCGAAAGGCGUAGUCGAUGGGAAACAGGUUAAUAUUCCUGUACUUGGUGUUACUGCGAAGGGGGGACGGAGAAGGCUAUGUCAGCCGGGCGACGGUUGUCCCGGUUUAAGCAUGUAGGCGGAGGUUCCAGGUAAAUCCGGUACCUUUUAACGCUGAGGUGUGAUGACGAGGCACUACGGUGCUGAAGUGAUAAAUGCCCUGCUUCCAGGAAAAGCCUCUAAGCAUCAGGUAACACGAAAUCGUACCCCAAACCGACACAGGUGGUCAGGUAGAGAAUACCAAGGCGCUUGAGAGAACUCGGGUGAAGGAACUAGGCAAAAUGGUGCCGUAACUUCGGGAGAAGGCACGCUGAUGUGUAGGUGAAG
Molecule: ribosomal RNA, 1732 nt
Filed under: Enterobacter hormaechei subsp. xiangfangensis
Lineage: Bacteria; Pseudomonadati; Pseudomonadota; Gammaproteobacteria; Enterobacterales; Enterobacteriaceae
Description: partial 23S ribosomal RNA
Rfam family: Bacterial large subunit ribosomal RNA
Source: RNAcentral